AUGAUUUAUGGUUCAAAUCUAUAUGGCCUCUGGAUUGGACUGCGGCCGAUCAGGCUGUUGGUGAGGUAAUGGCCCACCAAACCUGAAACCGGUACGGGCCCUGAGAGGAGAAGCCCGGAGAUGGGCACUGAGACAAGGGCCCAGGCCCUAUGGGGCGCAGCAGGCGCGAAACCUUUGCAAUAGGCGAAAGCCUGACAAGGUUACUCUGAGUGAUCUCCGCUAAGGAAAUCUUUUGACACCUCUAAAAAUGGUGUAGAAUGAGGGGUGGGCAAGCCUGGUGUCAGCCGCUGCGGUAAUACCAGCACCCCGAGUGGUCGGGACGAUUAUUGGGCCUAAAGCAUCCGUAGCCGGUUCUUUAAGUCCUCCGUUAAAUCCACCUGCUUAACAGAUGGGCUGCGGAGGAUACUAUAGAGCUAGGAGGCGGGAGAGGCAAGCGGUACUCAGUGGGUAGGGGUAAAAUCCGUUGAUCCAUUGAAGACCACCAGUGGCGAAGGCGGCUUGCCAGA
Molecule: ribosomal RNA, 506 nt
Filed under: uncultured archaeon
Lineage: Archaea
Description: bacterial SSU rRNA
Rfam family: Archaeal small subunit ribosomal RNA
Source: RNAcentral